RNAcentral lists this ribosomal RNA (406 nucleotides) under uncultured bacterium. RNAcentral describes it as "partial 16S ribosomal RNA". It matches the Rfam family "Bacterial small subunit ribosomal RNA", at positions 30 to 526 of the family's 1533-position model. The record is from RNAcentral.
AUUGAACGCUGGCGGCAGGCCUAACACAUGCAAGUCGAACGAGUGGCGGACGGGUGAGUAAUGUCUGGGAAACUGCCUGAUGGAGGGGGAUAACUACUGAAAACGGUAGCUAAUACCGCAUACCAUCAGAUGUGCCCAGAUGGGAUUAGCUAGUGGGUGGGGUAACGGCUCACCAGGGCGACGAUCCCUAGCUGGUCUGAGAGGAUGACCAGCCACACUGGACCGGAGAAACGGUCCAGACUCGUCCGAGCGGCAGCAGGGGGGAAUAUUGCACAAUGGGCGCAAGCCUGAUGCAGCCAUGCCGCGUGUAUGAAGAAGGCCUUAGGGUUGUAAAGUACUUUCAGCGGGGAGGCGUUACCCGCAGAAGAAGCACCGGCUAACUCCGUGCCAGCAGCCGCGGUAAUUC